GAGCCUGUAGUCAAUUAUGAUUUUUAAUUUGCAAUUAAAAGGUUAGAUGGCUUA
This 54-nucleotide transfer RNA is filed under the name Tigriopus kingsejongensis. Its description in RNAcentral is "tRNA-Ala". The record is from RNAcentral. Lineage: Eukaryota; Metazoa; Arthropoda; Copepoda; Harpacticoida; Harpacticidae.